RNAcentral lists this long non-coding RNA (709 nucleotides) under Gallus gallus (chicken). RNAcentral's name for it is "long non-coding RNA NONGGAT009068". Lineage: Eukaryota; Metazoa; Chordata; Aves; Galliformes; Phasianidae. The record is from RNAcentral.
AUACAGCCACGUCAUGGUUGGUAUAUAUAAACAACAUAUGCUCCCCUUGUGAUGUUUUUGAACCGUUAAACCUCCAGCUUGGGCCACGGCUGUGGGCUAGACCUCUCCCUCUGGUGUUCAGCUCCCUGUCAACAUACAUUAUGGCAUUUCCAAGGGGCAGUGCUCUCCUGACCAUAGGCACCAUCACUAACACAGCAGCAAGAUGAAAGGGUUGAUGAAUGCAAUGGACAGGAGAUGGAGGAACUGGAAAGAAUGGCUUCUGCCUUCAUAGGAGCAGCCCUAGUUGAGAGUCUGCCUUUGGAAAUAGGAUUACCAGAUGGACACAGCCUGGAUCAGUCCUAGCUGGAAAAGCCACCAGAGAAACAGCAAAGAGAAGAGUGAGAGAAGGACCAUGAAAGGGCGUGGGUGUAGUGCUGAACUGCAUUAUUCUUAACAUUCAUAGAACCAUAGAAUGGCCUGGGUUGUAAAGGACCACAAUGAUCAUCUCGUUCCAACCCCCUGCUAUGUGCAGGGUUGCCAAUCACCAGCCCAGGCUGCCCAGAGCCACAUCCAGCCUGGCCUUGAAUGCCUGCAGGGAUGGGGCAUCCACAGCCUCCUUGGGCAACCUGGGAACAGUGCGUCACCACCCUGAGUGAAAAACCUCCUCCUAAUAUCUAACCUAAACUUCCUCUGUCUCAGUUGGAUUCCUACUCGACUCAGACAUUGCAAA